AUGGCUACAACUGUGGUGGGAGGAGCAUUUCUCUCUGCUACAAUUCAAAUCAUAGCAGACAAGCUUACCUCAUCAGAAAUACCAAAACAAAAUCAGUUCAAGGAUCCUCAUGUUAAACAAUGGCUUGAAGACUUGAAAGAUGCAUUAUUUGAUGCUGAAGAUUUGCUUAACUUAAACAGCUACAGUGCCUUGCGAUGUAAGUUGGAUAACACCAGUUGA
Molecule: non-coding RNA, 219 nt
Organism: Vicia faba (fava bean)
Lineage: Eukaryota; Viridiplantae; Streptophyta; Magnoliopsida; Fabales; Fabaceae
Source: the annotation of a GenBank genome assembly